This 200-nucleotide long non-coding RNA is filed under the name Elaeis guineensis (African oil palm). RNAcentral's name for it is "long non-coding RNA (EGUI_LNC026363)". Lineage: Eukaryota; Viridiplantae; Streptophyta; Magnoliopsida; Arecales; Arecaceae. The record is from RNAcentral.
GCAUUGACAGCUAUAGCCAGAUAGCGUUGACAGCUAUGGCUAGUUGGCACUUGUGUUUUGGUUCUGAGCUCGAUUAAUCAUUUUUCGAGGAGAGAUCAGAGAGUGUGGCAUGCUGACUAAGAAUUGGACCAAACCUUUUUCAUCCAAGAAUUUGGAUCCAGAACAUAUCGACGAGAGAUUGAACAGAAUAGCCUCCAACC